UAGGUUGCUGUCCAUAGCUAGCACUUC
Molecule: non-coding RNA, 27 nt
Filed under: Mus musculus (house mouse)
Lineage: Eukaryota; Metazoa; Chordata; Mammalia; Rodentia; Muridae
Source: RNAcentral